AAUACGGAAUUUUUCUACGUUGAUUUGGUUAAAGGCAAUUGCCAUAUUUUUCCAACGGUACGCUUUCUUUCGGUGUCUCAAUCGAUUGUCGAAUAUGUGAUUUUUAUGGCGCGUUACGCGCGAGUGUCGGUAAUGUCGCGAAUAAGAAAUAUUCUCAUGUACGUACGUGUCUUUAGAAUUUUUUUCGCGUUUUCGGGUCUCAUUUCUAUAGAUAUCAAAUUAUAACGAUUUAUUUUCGCAGUUUGGUCCGACGAAGUAUUCGUUUCGAGGGUUUUUACGUUUAUACGUCAUAUUUAUUAACUUUCAAUAUUUUCGUAGAACCUAUCGUAAAAUAACGAAUUUUCAGGAUGGCCAUUGGUAAAGUGGUACCCUUGAAAGCACUAUCGACAUCACUGGCAUCACCGAUCCCCUACAGUGUUCCGAAUAAGAGCCAUACUUGUUUUGCGAACACUUUCGAAUUGUAACGGAAUUACGUCUCCUCGUAAUGACAGGUUUGGGAAAUUCAUCUGUGCGGGAAUAUCAACGAAACAGAAUUUAUAAAUCCACCUUCGUUGCUAUAGAAUGGUCAAAUAUUCGUGUUAAAAUGGACUUCGGUGACAAAGAUAAGUAUAAUAUUUUAAUUUACUUUAAUAAUGAUUCCAUUAUAAUUAAUCAAACAUUUUAAUUCUUUUAUUAUUCAAUAAUGCGAUAUACAGAAAGGAAGAGAGAUAAAUUCGUGUACUCUUCGUAGAGUAUUCAAUUCAGUUUUAUUUAUUUGUUGUUACUUGUUCGUAAACAAUUGAGUUUCCAUAUGUAAGUUAUAUACGAUCUGAAAAAGUGAUAUUGUUUGCAAUGUAUUCAACGAUACAACGUAAAUAUUACCGUGCUAGUGACUUUGUACUUUGGUACACGUUUCAAAAAUAUAUGUUUUUUUUUUUUAUAAUAAUAGUAUAUCGAAGAAUUAAAAUAUUUACAAAUUUGUAAAAAAACGAAACUUUGUGUUAUCUCGUUGCUCUGCCAUCGAAAAUGAUUUCGAAAAAUGUAUUUUGUAGAAUUUUAUAUUUCUUGUUAUAUGAUAAAUUUUUAUUAUCGGCCAAACAGUUGAAACGAUAGUUAAUCAAUCAUCCUACAUGAUGCUCGAGCUCGAUCAUCUUACGUCAUUUCGAAGCUGAUUACUCAAGCAAGGAUCUACGAAGUCUCGAUAAAGCAGCGAUAGUGAUUCAGUGUAAUUUUACUGUUGUGAUCUAGUAAUUAGAAGAUAAGUCAGUAAUUGAAUCAUCUUGAAGCUGAUUAAUCGUGCGAGGAUCUACAAAAUCUCUAUUCAUUGCAACGGCGCGCGAGGCAACGAUAUAAAUUCGGUGCUUGCUCGAGAAUUUAGAUUCUUCCGCGUUCCGCGAUUUUUGAAUUAAAGAAUAAAUGAUUGCGCGCAAUGCGAUCAUAGAUUUAAUGUCCGUCUCGUAGUAAAAGAACGUAAUUAACGCCUACUAGAGUCAGUGUUUUAUUUCAUCAAAUUAGAGUCAGUGCAUCGAAGAAGAUUAUUGAAGAUAUCUUUCCGAGG
This is a long non-coding RNA of Vespula vulgaris, 1537 nucleotides long. RefSeq lists it as uncharacterized. The transcript has 4 exons. The record is from RefSeq and is a predicted model, not a curated record. NCBI's taxonomy places the organism in Eukaryota, Metazoa, Arthropoda, Insecta, Hymenoptera, Vespidae.